AUCACAGGCUCAAGAAAAGAGAGAAGCGUCCACGGAGGAGCGAAUCCUCUCUGCAGACUUCCGAGGAGGCCCACAUCCCUUCUGUUUGCACCCCACAAAAUAGGCUGACCAGGUUUGCCUCUCCCCACACAACCUCUGCGGCAGCGGAGUCCCUGCAAGUUAGGUGACCUUCUGAAGGUGACUCGAACCUCCCCCAGGGAAGACAUGGACGAUCCUGUGGUCCCACCAUCCUGCUGUCUCCCCUGACAGGACACUGCCUUCGUGACCCACAAAUAUUUGGGGCUUUUCUGCAGUGCUCUGUGGGAUCCUAAAAGAUAAGAGCCCCUGUCCAUCGCUGGGGAGCCUGCAGCCUCCCCACGGCGCUCGCUCGGGCCCAGAAAUUAGAAUUUAUAGCCGCCCUAAGGGCUAAAGGCAAAUUUAGCCAGCACCUAGAGGAGAAGUCCUGGGAAGGAGGGGAAUCCACAGCUGAGGGCUGGAGAGGACAUUCCCAACAGUGGCGGGGCCAACAUGGGCAACGGUGUCAGCAAAGGCUGGGUGGCAGGACUGGGUGACAGGGGCCCUUGGAGAGGCCCAGCCUGGCUGGGGGCGCGGGCUGGGAGCAACGAGGUUCAAAAUAUGGCCAUGAAGCUGAGAUCCCUUCCUCCCUCCAGGCAAGAAAGGGGGGCAGCUUUUUUUUUUUUUUUUUUUUUUUUUUGAGAUGGAGUCUCGCUCUGUCACCCAGGCUGGAGUGCAGUGGCGCAAUCUCGGCUCACUGCAAGCUCUGCCUCCCAGGUUCAUGCCAAUCUCCUGCCUCAGCCUCCCCAGUAGGUGGGACUACAAGUGCCUGCCGCCACACCCGGCUAAUUUUUUUGUAUUUUUUAGUAGAGACGGGUUUUCACCGUGUUAGCCAGGAUGGUCUCGAUCUCCUGACCUCGUGAUCCGCCCGCCUCGGCCUCCCAAAGUGCUGGGAUUACUGGCGUGAGCCACUGCUCCUGGCCAAGGGGGGCAGCUUUGAAAGCCCCUGGCACAACCUCCUGAGCUGUGGCAUCGCUGCCAAGAUGGCACUGAGGGCCCUCCAAGGCACGGGGUCCCUACUGGGCCCCCUGAGUGUGGCUGGUGGCUGGUGGCUGGUUGCCUCUUGGAGUAAGGCUCACUGCACACAAAGGUUAAAGGCUGGAGGUCACCAGGCCUGGAGCAGUGGCAGGUUCAAAUGCAGAUGUUGCCGCAACUUCCGUCAGUAUCUAGAACUAUCUGGAACUCGCACUCCCAGGAACACCGCCGUCCAGGUCGCCUUCCCUUCCUCCCUCAAGCCAGUUUGAGCUCUGUGCAGAGACAAAGGCUGGGCCCUGAGUGGCUGUCCUGGGUCCCCCUUCCUCCCGGAAUACCAAGCUCACACCGUUUCUCAGGCCUCGGGAGACCCUUCCUGUCAGGCCUUUGCAGCUCUGUCCCCACGGACACUGGGCUCCCUGGGCUCUUGGAGGAGGAAGGAGGGAGGAGGGGCAUGGAGGAGGAGGGAGGAGGGGCAGAGAGGAGGAAGGAGGAGGAACAGGGAAGAGUAGGGGGAGGGAGGAGGAGUAGGGAAGAGGAGAGAGGAGGAGCAGGGGUGAGUAGGGAGGAAGAAGGAGCAAGAAGGAGGAGGAGGGAGGAAGGAAGAGCAGGGAGGAGGGGCAGGGAGGAGGGAGCAGAGGCAAAGAGGAGGAGGGAGGAGUAGGAGGGAGGAAGGAGGAGCAGGGGGGAGGAGGGAGGAGAGGAAAGGAGGAGGGAGGAGAGGCAAAGAGGAGAAGGGGGAGUAGGAGGGAGGAAGGAGGAGCAGAGAAGAGCAGGGAGGAGGGAGGAGAGGCAAGGAGGAGGAGGGGGGAGUAGGAGGGAGGAAGGAAGAGCAGGGAGGAGGGAGGAGGGGCAGGGAGGAGGAGGGAGGAGGGGCAAGAAGGAGGCGGGAGGGAGGAGGAGGAGCAUCUAGGAGGAGGGAGAAGGGAGGAGGAGCAUCAAGGAGAAGGGAGGAGGAGCAAUGAUCACAGACACAGGAGGGAGCUCCCUGGGAUUUCAUAAGAUCCUAGUGCCAGAGCCAGGUGGGCUGAGGAAAGAGGAGAUCCUGAAUGUGGAACCCUGCAAGGGAGAUUAGACUGGAGUCCUAGCUGACACUUGCAGGUAUCCACUCUACACUCCCCAUACCUUUUUUUUUUUUUUUUUUUCUGAGACAGAGUCUAGCUUUGUCACCCAGGCUGGAGUGCAGUGGCACAAUCUCAGCUCACUAAAACCUCCACCUCCCAGGUUCAAGCGAUUCUUCCGCCUCAGCCUCCCGAGUAGCUGGGAUUACAGGUGCGCACCACCACGCCCAGCUAACUUUUGUACUUUUAGUAGAGACGG
Molecule: long non-coding RNA, 2346 nt
Filed under: Homo sapiens (human)
Lineage: Eukaryota; Metazoa; Chordata; Mammalia; Primates; Hominidae
Description: HSALNT0254704
Source: RNAcentral